Molecule: ribosomal RNA, 200 nt
Filed under: uncultured bacterium
Lineage: Bacteria
Description: partial 16S ribosomal RNA
Rfam family: Bacterial small subunit ribosomal RNA
Source: RNAcentral
AUUGAACGCUGGCGGCAGGCCUAACACAUGCAAGUCGAGCGGAUGAGAGGAGCUUGCUCCUGGAUUCAGCGGCGGACGGGUGAGUAAUGCCUAGGAAUCUGCCUGGUAGUGGGGGACAACGUUUCGAAAGGAACGCUAAUACCGCAUACGUCCUACGGGAGAAAGCAGGGGACCUUCGGGCCUUGCGCUAUCAGAUGAGC